RNAcentral lists this long non-coding RNA (3326 nucleotides) under Homo sapiens (human). RNAcentral describes it as "HSALNT0374046". Lineage: Eukaryota; Metazoa; Chordata; Mammalia; Primates; Hominidae. The record is from RNAcentral.
GUUCUGCUUUCAGCAGCUACUUUUCUGGUUUGAAGGGGGGAAGGAAAAAAAAACUGGGGAGAACUAGGCGGCUUUCUGAUCAGAGUUCAGAUAAAAAGGGUCACAGUAAUUUGUGGGCACUGACUAAAAUAACCCAAUGGAUUUGAGAGUUACCGCAAAAGAAGCAAACAGACAAACUAAAGAGGUAUAACUCCUACUUGAAGAGUGUGAGAGAAUAUUUACUACUCGGAUGUUUGAGACAUACCAAAAAAUGCUUUUUGAUCCUUUAUCAAGAAGACGUAAUGACCAAGAUUGAUAAAGAAAAAUGCAAUGGUUACUUUACCUGCAACCAUCUCAAAGACGCUCUAAUGUCAUUUCAGAGGACUUCAGCCAUGAACUUGGUGAUGAGCCAGAGAAGGUAACUUUUCAUCCCCUACAAGACCUCCCAGAGGCCUUUAUUCUUCUUACAGCGAUUCUGCUGUGAAUUCGUACGGAAUGGGCUCCAGCAGCUCAGGCUACUUUCCACUGGGUCUCACAAAGUGUGCUUCUCGAAGCAGGCUGGGGCUUCCCUUGAACCCAGAUUCCCACUUAUGUACCUAAAGGAGCAACUCCAUGUUUUCCAAAAGGCCUGAAAAACAUAUAGCAGAUUCCAUGUUGCAGCUAACCUUAAAGAAAUCAUCACUUGGAACUGAUUCAGAAUCCCAUAUCACAUUUUGUUAUUACUUUUGCCUGGUCUCCUGCUGUCUGGAACAGUUUUUCAGUCUUCCUUCAUUUUCAAGAGUGUGAAAGGAUCCCAAGACCAAAAGUCUGGGAACUGCUGGUUUAGAGUCACAAUACUGACUGCUCAAAAUGACUUUUUAAAGAAGAAAGCCUUAAAAACCCUUGAGUGAAUGGUUGGUAUUUACAGACAAGCAAAUGUAUGGAAGAGAAACGAGAGACCCAGCCUGAAUCUGUUGAAUGAACGAAAGGGGAAAUGCCCUAAGGAGUCAGAUGGAAGAAGUUUUUCUGGGAAGAGCAGAACACAGGAGUUGGGGUGCAGACCUCCUGGAUCACCAGCAGAAGGAAAAGAGCAGUGAGACGUUAAAGUGAUUGAGACAAAAAUGGAAGUAAAACAGCUUAAGGCUUUCUGAGAUCGAGUUCCUGGCAGUGUCAUCAGCAGAUGGUUUCUUCUGAAGUUCAGGGGAAGAGAAGAUGCUCGAAGAACUCUCCAGGGACUGAGUGGGUGGUACAGAGCUAGUGCUGUAGAUGCCAUGUAUACAGGCAAAUUCCCCAAUGAGUGUUUUCCAAUAUCAAGUUUAACUGGCAUUUAAGAUAUAUGCCAAAGGUAGGUAAAUUAUUUUGGCCUGUGCUUAUAGGUUUAUUUCCCUGGAUGAAGCUUUCUGUCUCUGUCCUAGUGCACUGUAGCAGAUGCAGGGUCUUUCCAUACAAUACAUUAAAAGCUGCAUCUCAUUUUAAAUAUAUUAUAGAAACCCUGAUCAUACAAUACAUACAAGAUUUUUAAGAUCAGCCUUCAGUCGAUUUUUUUGCUUUAUUUUUGUUCUGGAGGUCAAAAUGAGUGGUUAACUGUCUAAGUUGAUUGCAGAGAAAGUUACUACUCAUUCUAAACGUAGGUUUUUAGAAAAGUGUUCUUGGCAGUUGCUACCAUUGGCUUUUUCCAACUUACAUGGGAAUCAAGAUUCAGAACUGGUACACCAAUGGGAAGAGCCUGGAAAAUAGACUAUUGAUCAAGAUGAAUCUGGUCCAGAUACUUUAAGACCUUUUCAGUGUGUUUUUAAGAUUAUAAGUUUGAACUAACAGAAACUUCAAUGCUGUUUUUUCACAAGUCAAUGUGUAGUGUACUGUUAUUCUUUUUUUUCCUGUAAUAUCUUAAUAAUAUUCCUGGCUGUAAGAAAAAGUUAACACUAUACCUAUGUUUUGACUUACUUUAUAGAAGACCCAAACAAUAUUUAACAAAAGGAUUUUUCUCAAAUACUAUUUUGAAAUCACUAUAUUAGACACUAUCUUAAAUUUAUUUCUCAAUUUGCUUCUUUUUGAAACUUCCACAUUUUGGUGUUCUUUUCAGCAUCACUCAUUUUCUUUCAUAAUAAAGAUACCCAAUAACAAUAUCAUAAUAAAGAUUUGAUAACAAAUCUCCAGUUUUGGAGUGUUACAUUUCAUAUCUACAUGCUUACAGAGAAUUUAGUAUGAAUAUUCCCUGGCCUUAGUUCCUCUAAGCCUAGGAUACUUGUAGUCAUUUGGCAAAUAAUUUAAUCCAUGGCAAACAUGAGUCUUAAUACAAAAAUUAUUGAGUAGGCAAAAAAUAAUUGAACAUAUUUUGGACUGAUUACCAGUGCAUUAAAAAAGUAGAGGUUUAAGGAUGAGAAUAAUAAGUUUUUUUGUUUUUACUUAAAUUUAUAUAAAAGGAGUGAAAAUACAGUAGCCUAUAGUACUUAAGAGUGUGGGUAUAUUUUCAGCACUUAAUAAUUACUAGUUGAAUUGCAUAAUAUGGGACUAUAACUGAUAUGGUUUGGCUCUGUGUCCCCGCCCAAAUCUCAUGUUGAAUUAUAAUUUCCAAUAUUGGAGGAGGUACCUAGUGGGAGGUGACUGGAUCAUUGGGGGAAAUUUCCCCCUUGCUGUCCUCAUGAUAGUGAGUGAGUUCUCACAAGAUCUGAUGGUUUAAAAGUGUGUGGCAUUUCCCCCUUUACUCUUUCUCUCUCCUGCUGGCCAUGAGAAUAAGUGCUUGCUUCCCAUUCACCUUCUGCCAUGCUUGUGUUUCCUGAGGCUUCCCAGCCAUGCUUCUUGUUCAAGCUGCAGAACUGUGAGUCAAUUAAACCUCAUUUCUUCAUAAAUUACCCAGUCUCAGCUCUUUAUGGGAGUGUGAGAAUGGACUAAUAAAAUAUCUCUAGAAUUAUGUUUUUGGAGAUAAUUUAAAGAUAAACAAAUAUUGGAAACCUCAUUUGAUCACACAGAGAACAGUAAAUGGAAGUUCUACUUUUUCUCCAGGGCCUUUCUCAUGCUUAUGCAGGGAUUAUUCACCCAGAUAUCCUGAAAUAAGACAUCCAAUUAAGGUACCUGCUAUCUCAUGUAACACAGAAGAAAGUUGAGCAUAGAGGUUAAACAUUACCUAAUAUUGUUGGAAAAGCUUCGAAGCGUUCAUUUUCAAAGCAGCUAAUGUAAACCAUGAUAAUCACUAGUAGCACUAUGCCAUUUUAAAUACUUCAAUAUUUUGUAGUUAUUAGAUUCUAAGUAAGUAUAAAAUGUAGUGAAUACAAAUUUUAUUUGCCUAAACAGUGUUAGACAAUAUAAAUUAACGAGUUAUUUUUUAUUCUGUUUAAUAUUUUCAAGCCAAUAAACACUUUACUAAAGUA